UCCUUUCUCCAUGUCUACUAAAUGGAGUCUUAGUCAUUUUUCCCAUAAGAUAAGAUUCACAAGUACCUAAUGAUUCAUAAUCAUAAGGAUCAAAGAAUUCUUCUUUGUAUAACUUGUUAAUCCUUGUCUCACUUAUAUGACCAAGUCAACAAUACCAAAGUAAAGUAUUAUUCAACUCUUCUCUCUUUCACUUUUUACUUUCAUUAAUAUGAAAAAUAUUGUCAUUAGAUAGAAUUAGAAGAUCAUUAUUAAUAACGCCAUGACAGAUAAUUUCAUUAGAAAAAGAAAUUGAGCAACUAUUGCUCUUUCCAUUUAUUUCAUAACCUCAUUGCAAUAGUAACGAUACAGAAAUAAUAUUUCUAAUGAUCUUAGGCAUAUAAUAACAGUUUUUUAGCUCUAAGAUAUUUCCAGAAGGUAACUUUAACAUAUAUGUCCCUACAGCCUCUGCUUGGAUUGACUCUCCUCCAGCACCGUAGAGCUCGAAGUCACCCUUCUUCAGCACUCUAAUAUUCUGCAGCCCCUGCAAUGACAUGCAGAUAUGAGAACCGCAGGCAGUAUCCAAUACCCAAGAGUCUGAAUUGGAAGAACUUAAUGACAAAAUUGUAUGUAUCUCAUACAUACCUUUUGGUGCAUCGCUUGCA
Molecule: long non-coding RNA, 641 nt
Filed under: Elaeis guineensis (African oil palm)
Lineage: Eukaryota; Viridiplantae; Streptophyta; Magnoliopsida; Arecales; Arecaceae
Description: long non-coding RNA (EGUI_LNC070688)
Source: RNAcentral